GUCACUGUCGGUUGGCUACCCCCACCUCAGUAUUCAGAACUAUAGAUGAGCAUAAUUUCUUUCUUGGAUGAAUUUCUACACCCUGAGUUAGAGAGCUUCUCUUCCUUUGACAUUGUCUUUCAGAAUCUGGAGCUUCCAUAUCCGUUUCUGGUGAUCUUAAUUCAUAAAUCACCACAUGAGAAGAAGAACUUUCUUUGGUCCUAGCCAACUGUUUCCAUGAACGAAGGGAUGUCUGUUCCCGAGACUGUAUUCCUGGUUCCUCAGCCAUCACUUUCUAUUGUACUUGCAGAAAAAUUGAGUGUUUAUUCUGGAAGAAGCUUGCGAUUUCAAUAAGGUCUUCCAAAGAUAGUAGCUCUUCAGGAUAGAGAAGCUUAUGGGUACACUGAAUUUUAGGAAGUUGAGCAAAGAAUUUUAAUUUU
This 419-nucleotide long non-coding RNA is filed under the name Manihot esculenta (cassava). Its description in RNAcentral is "long non-coding RNA (MESC_LNC007242)". Lineage: Eukaryota; Viridiplantae; Streptophyta; Magnoliopsida; Malpighiales; Euphorbiaceae. The record is from RNAcentral.